Non-coding RNA from Felis catus (domestic cat), 85 nucleotides. NCBI's taxonomy places the organism in Eukaryota, Metazoa, Chordata, Mammalia, Carnivora, Felidae. The record is from Rfam.
GCCUGGGUGGCUCAGUCGGUUAAGUGUCCGACUUCGGCUCAGGUCAUGAUCUCGCGGUUUGUGGGUUCAAGCCCCGCAUCAGGCU